This 494-nucleotide ribosomal RNA is filed under the name uncultured bacterium. Its description in RNAcentral is "partial 16S ribosomal RNA". It matches the Rfam family "Bacterial small subunit ribosomal RNA", at positions 28 to 507 of the family's 1533-position model. The record is from RNAcentral.
GACGAACGCUGGCGGCGUGCUUAACACAUGCAAGUCGAACGGAAAGGCCUGCUUUCCCUUGUGGAUUGCGGGUACUCGAGUGGCGAACGGGUGAGUAACACGUGAGUGAUCUGCCCCCAACUUGGGUAUAAGCCUGGGAAACUGGGUCUAAUUCCCGAUAGGACUGCAGGGUGGUGCCUGUGGUGGCAAACGAUUUUCUAGUGGUUGGGGAUGAGCUCGCGGCCUAUCAGCUUGUUGGUGGGGUAAUGGCCUACCAAGGCGGCGACGGGUAGCCGGCCUGGGAGGGUGGACGGCGACAUUGGGACUGAGAUACGGGCCAGACGCCUACGGGAGGCAGCAGUGGGGAAGAUGGCACAAUGGGCGGAAGCCUGAGGCAGCGACGCCGCGUGGGGGAUGACGGCCUUCGGGUGGUAAACUCCUUUCGACCGCGAGGAAGCCACCUGGUUGGAAGGGUGGUGACGGUAGUGGUAGAAGAAGCACCGGCUAACUACGUG